UGAGGGACGUAGACCCCGCUCCACCUCUGGCUUGGCCCACUUAGGUGGCGUCUCUAGAGCGGGGACCCUCGCAUUUCUAAGUGACCCCAAACUUUUGAACGCUAGUGUAUAUUUUAAUAAGUUAGCUGGUGGCCAAACUUGUUAUACCAGCUAUGUGAAUGGUCAAGAUCUUUGUUUGUAGAUAUAGCUACAUCUGCAAAAUUUUCGAUUUGAGGAAAUUAAUGAAAAUCUUAAAGAAUCAGAGUUGAUUUCAACCAUGUGCGUGUUGAGUUCACAAGGCCAAUUAAUUGGGGUGUGACCUAGUGUGAUCAAUUUGAGCCUUGUUUGGUGCAGCAUGUAGCUAGCCAGGAAGUAACGGAGUGCAGUGUAACAUGUUGGUGAAGGUCCAAUACCAAAAAUGCAAGAAGUUCAUGAAGUUGCAACCUUCUCUUAUGGAGAUCAAGCACAAAUACACAUUUUUGAUGAUUCCCAAUUGUGAAUUGUGACCCUCUUUCCUUCGUUGAGAGAUCCGUUUUCCCCCAAAGGCUAUGAACCCUUCUAUGAUCCUGACACGGGCAAAGGAUAUCUGAAUUAUCACCUGAAGACGGCAUCAAGGAAGACUCAUCAAGAAGAGUAUUUCACCCCAGUCGGGAGGCCCAACCCAUAGGAGGAAGACUGACCUGGACCACCAGCUUGUUGGUGAUGCAUGCAAGGAGGCCCUUUCCUUCCUUGUCCACUCGGCCAUUGAAAAACACAUUUAGCAGAUGAUGAAGGAGGUGUUCCAGGAUCGCCAGGAGCCAGUUUAUAGUCCAGACAGAAGCACAGAUGUCCUCACAGUCUUUCCCAGGUUUCUGGACAUCAAAUGAUUGGACUUUUUGCCGACGAUGAAACAUCCUCUAAGCUCCUUGAAAAGUGGGACGCAAUAUUGAAGCCUAAAAGUCAUCAAACUGGCAAAAUCCCUGACUACAACCACCGAUUUGCGUCGCCUCCUGAAGUCUGCAGAAAAACCACAAGAGAAUGACUGCGAAACCAACUGGGACAAUGAUAUGUCCUCCCUGCUGCUGCUGCAUCUCCCACCACCAGCAGGAGGGAAGAGGACCAAGAUCAGUGCCAGUGAUGUUGUGGGUAGACUAGUGCACUUUCAUAAGUCAUGCUGCAGCAUUGAAGAACAUCAUGAUGAGAGCCAUGGUCGACAGCCGUACCUCCUUGCCGUUGGUAGAAGACAGAGUCAGAUUGACAACAUCGUGGUGCCAGGCAACUAGUAGUCUGCGUGUGUUUGAUUAACUACUGUUCAAAGCCCACUUUAACUUGACAUAUGAUGAUGCUCUUGUCAACUUCUACAGAAGAACCUCUGCAGACAACCAUCUACAACAUUGAUAUAUGCAAAACAAGAGGCAUCUAGCAUGAUAGAGUUCAGGACAAAACUUCUUAACCAGAUAAAUGUAUCUUGCGGUGCUUUUGUUGUCAAGUGUUGCACAGAAACAGCCAGUCAUUGAUAUCGAAUUUGAGAAUUAAUCACAGCUUCUAUUCCGCCACCAAGUUUAGAUUGGUCUGUGCUCCAGAUGUUUGAAGACCGCAGUUUUCAACAUACUCAGGUUUCAGAAAACAUUUCAAUAGUAUUCAUAAGGAUAUUGGUCAAGUCGUUAAUGCAUUAAGCUUAGAUGGGCCCUCUCAUGUUGCUGAUUCUCCAGUCCAGUCAGAAGCUCCACAAAUGUCCCACAUGAUAACACUCAAAGUGAUUGUUUUGGGUAGAAUGGACAGAGUCUUGCUAAAGAUAUCUGUGCCUCCAUUAGUGCCAAGUUACAGGCCAGUAUUGUUGCAGAUAGUGUUGUGUCAACAGUAGUGUGUGAUUUAGAAGAGCUUACUAGUGGGCUACACUCCCAAAUUAAACAUGUUCGGUCAGUUAUGCCUAUGGAUAACCCCUCGACAUCUGCUGUAAAGGAUAGUUUUUGAAAACCCAUUUGCCAGUUUUAACACAGAAACCAAGAGAACAAAGUACUUCAACCAAAGAUGGGGUUUUGUGGAGCCAGUAGAAGUAGUGUUGGGAGUUGGAUAUGAUAGUAGGCGGGGAAAAAAGCAGGCAUAUAUGAUCAAGUCCUAGUGAAAGACACUUUUGUAUAUAUUCCUAUACUGGAAACAUUAACAUUCAUGUGUCGCAAUUCUGAAAUCUGUAAGUUAUUGGAAAAUGCACCUAGGGAUACAUCUGUGGAAGACACUUAUUAAGACUUUUGUGAUGGAAGUUACUUUAAGACUCAUCUCUUGUUCCCAAAACAUAUAAAUGCUUUACAGAUCCAAUUGUACUAUGAUGACUUUGAAACUGCCAAUCCACUUGGAUCCAAGUGUGGUGUUCACAAGAUAGGUGCCGUUUAGUUUGUACUCAGUACAAACAUGCACCUCUCCUUUGUUUUUUAUGAGUCAAAGUUAUUUAACAGUAUAUUUAGUGAAUUGCUAACCUAAGGAUGUUGAAAUAAGUCAUGAUAUUAGGAAAAGUGUUUAUUUCCAGUGAGUGUAUUUAAUGGGUUUUGUUUCUGUAGCUAUCUUGGCUGGCCAGCCACUUCGGUAGCUACUGGCUGGCUAGUUUAGACCGAAGAGAUGAGAGAACGAUUUUCAGACUGAAGCACAUACUGUGGGUUCUGACAGUGACACAAUGCCCACCU
This is a long non-coding RNA of Oncorhynchus kisutch (coho salmon), 2636 nucleotides long. RefSeq lists it as uncharacterized. The record is from RefSeq and is a predicted model, not a curated record. NCBI's taxonomy places the organism in Eukaryota, Metazoa, Chordata, Actinopteri, Salmoniformes, Salmonidae. The transcript has 7 exons.